Molecule: unclassified non-coding RNA, 143 nt
Filed under: uncultured crenarchaeote
Lineage: Archaea; Thermoproteati; Thermoproteota
Description: partial 16S-23S ribosomal RNA intergenic spacer
Source: RNAcentral
AGAAUAAAUAGUGAUAGGGAGUACAGUUUUGACUAAAAAUUUCAAGAUGGCAAAUUCUAGAUGCAACUCUUCAAAGACCUUGAAGGGUGAAGGACGUAGUGUUUAACACAAUUAUCGUCGUGUAUAGUUGCGCACAGCGCAUG